Molecule: ribosomal RNA, 335 nt
Filed under: Penicillium chrysogenum
Lineage: Eukaryota; Fungi; Ascomycota; Eurotiomycetes; Eurotiales; Aspergillaceae
Description: SSU rRNA
Rfam family: Eukaryotic small subunit ribosomal RNA
Source: RNAcentral
GAUAGUACCUUACUACAUGGAUACCUGUGGUAAUUCUAGAGCUAAUACAUGCUAAAAACCCCGACUUCAGGAAGGGGUGUAUUUAUUAGAUAAAAAACCAACGCCCUUCGGGGCUCCUUGGUGAAUCAUAAUAACUUAACGAAUCGCAUGGCCUUGCGCCGGCGAUGGUUCAUUCAAAUUUCUGCCCUAUCAACUUUCGAUGGUAGGAUAGUGGCCUACCAUGGUGGCAACGGGUAACGGGGAAUUAGGGUUCGAUUCCGGAGAGGGAGCCUGAGAAACGGCUACCACAUCCAAGGAAGGCAGCAGGCCGGCCCGUGCCCCCGCCCCGCCCGCCG